Molecule: RNA transcript, 4850 nt
Organism: Setaria italica (foxtail millet)
Lineage: Eukaryota; Viridiplantae; Streptophyta; Magnoliopsida; Poales; Poaceae
Exons: 3
Source: RefSeq, a predicted model, not a curated record
UCUUGUGAUAGGAAAUGGAGAAGGUCCUAUGCACCCAUUAAUGUUUCCGUUUUGCUAAUAAACCAAAAUCAGGAAAAUGAACUAUAGAUUUGUUUUGUGCAUUGCUGUUAACUGUCCAGGUAAAGUAACUUCUAUUUGAACUGUUCCGGUUCAGUUUGUUUAUGGCUUUUGAUGGUCCCCAUUCACUAGUAGAUGAAAAUGUGGAACUUCAUCAAGAUCCAGGUACUGCUAGUAAUCUAAGAUCAGAAAUUCAUAACAAAUUAUUGUCCUAGCUGUGUUAGAUCUUUCCAAUGCUCAGUUCUUUUUUUUAUGUGCUGAAAUAAUCCGUUGAUCUCAUGGAUUUUUCUUUCAAGUACUUGGUAGAGCUUACAUCAUGGUAUUUAAAGCAUAUGUAGGAAAUUUACUGGUUCCAAAUGCAUUUCAUUUCAAUACCUCAAAUCUUAAGUUUUAUUUUUAGUUUUUGGUGAAAGUAAAGCCAAUGUCACCAUAGGUUUUUGAAGUCUAUGGCAGAAACCCCCCAUUAUUCUUACCUGACCAGGCUUUGCUUUUUUUUACCUGAUCAUUGACCAUGACUAUGCUUUAUACUGCUUAGUGCUUACUCAUUUUGACAGCCUGAGAUGCUGGAAUCUCCCGAGGAUACCUUCAAAUUUAACAUAUCAAAUCUCUUAUAGUUGUUCAGUUUUGUUGAAAGCAAAGAGGUUAUUCUAUGUUCGAGGUCUAUGGCAGAAAGCCCUGGUGAAACCAGGACCUGAUUAGACCUGGUGCGUGACUGACCAUGCCUUUUGUUCAAUCAAUUUCACAGUUAGAUGCUGAGAAUGUCUCUAGGACACCAAAGCAGCUUGGUGCCAAUUUCUUUACUAUACUAAAUCGAAUCACCAGGUUGAAUUCAGGUCUGUACCUUUCUUCCCUAUUAUUUAAUGCUACUCUAUUUGUGCAUAGUGGGUUUUAGUUCCAUUCACAAUAAUUUUUUUUAAGGGUGUGUUUGGCCUGGGUGGAUUAAUAUCCAAAUCCGUUUGGAUUGAUAAUCCGAAUUUGAAGUAAACUCUAAAAGUUCCUACAUGUUAAAUGUGGUUGACUUGUAAGUUGUAAAUUUUUGGUUUCCCCUGUUGGGAAUGGGACCGCUGUUUUGGAGUUGUGAGUUGUGACAACUGAUGUCUUGCAAAAGUCCUGGCAAUACCUUGUUCUGGUCUUCUUCUUGGUUUAUCAACACAUGAAGACAAAGUCCACGAGAGCAAUUUUUAAAUAUUGAUACUGUCGGAUUUAGUGACCAGCAGUCCACCAGGGGGUUACCCAAGUGGUAGAUUUGUAGGCGGGGGAGAUCGUGAGACCAAGAACUCGAAUGGUAACACAGAGGCGCAAGGUUUAGAUAGGUUCGGGCCUUCGGAGAGUAAUACCCCAUGUCCUGUGUUCUUGUGGAUUGUAUUGCUGAUCGCAGGUGCGAAGAGUUAAUGUGCCCUCAGGGGGCGCCCCUGGUUGCCUUACAUAGGCUGACAACCUAGGGUUGCAAUUGGAUAGGAUCUAAUCCUAGUCGGUUGUUACAAGAAAGUCAAUCUAAGUCGGUUUACAACAAGUAUCCCGUGAUAUUCGGGCUGAAUCGGUUGGCCCGACCUCCAAGCUUGUGCCUCACGGAACUUCACACCUUGCCCCGCACGCCAUGGUCGGGCGGGGCCCACUUGUCAGGUCAGCCAGUAUCCUGGUCGGUGGGGACCUGUGGGUACCCUUAUCCCUCAUAUACUAUUCCAUUUCUCUGCAGAAGGAAGUGAGACUAGCAUAUAUCAGCAGAUUCCUUUCGACUUUAGGGCUUGGGAGUCAAUAUUCCCAGUGGCAGUGAUCAUGUCAUGCUUUUCAAGCGAGGUUCAUUUUCAGCAAAAGAUAUGCUGACCAACCUUUUGUGCCAAUGUACUCCACGAAUAUAGGCAGUCUGGUGGCCUGCACUAUAUCUAUGCCUGCCUGCCCGGGGCUUGAACAUCAGUAGCACUGAACUGCCUCUUUGUGGAAGUAAUGUAUUAGCUUUUUGGUCAAAGGUAAGUGGCCUUAUCUUUGUUGAUCUUUGGAUCAUGCUGUGUGGGCUGUCCUGCAUUUAUGCAUCCUGAAGUUCAUACUUUGCUUCCUGUUGUCUUGGUACAUGAUUCUGAGAAGACUUGGGAUUUUGAUGACAUUGACUGAAACAUUCUUAGUUCUUUGAAAUGAUUUUAACUUUUGGGCUCCCUUAUUUGAUUUAUCUGAAAGAAAACACGAGUGCUGUUUUUUUUAUAAUUUUCCUUGUGGGAACAUUGGGUUACACCUGCUACACAAACUGAAUCUUAGAUAAGCUUCUAGAUAAAUAAUGCCUGGUAUCAGCGGUUCUCUCAACGUCACAGGUAGUGCUCCAAUAAAUAACUGCCUACUUACCAUUGACUCAUUUUAACAGAUGUGCAAUGUGAAGUUUAUGGUCAUGACCACUAUUCUAGAAUUGAAAUUUGUAUUUCGAGUUAUCAUCUCAACUACUGUAGUGGUUCGGUGAACCUAGUUCAACUUAGAUUAGAGAUGGCAUCUAACUAUAUAUGUGUAUAUUCUUAUCCAAUCUGGUGUAAGGAGCUCUUUUUGCAAAUUAUUGUUGCCUCUAUAUGCAAAAUUUAUCGGUUAGAUCUUGUGCUCCUAAAAGCUCACGACGAUUACUGCUUGUCGCCAUCGUUGUCUCUAGACAAUACGUAGCAUAACACAUUUGAGUUUUUCUUUUGGCCCUAUUGUAGUAGAGUUGCUCCUUCACUACCUUGUGCCAUUGAGAUAUACUGCCAAUAUUACUGAAGUUCUGAGGUUAAUUAUCAUGUACUUGCCUACCUACUAUUAUAGUAAAAAUGGUUGUUUAUGAUGUACUUUGAAGCAUGUUUGCCUUUAUUGCAUAAAAUAUGUUCAAUGAUCUAUAUAGGAGAACCACCGGUUCUGCAAAUACCGGCGAGAGCUUUGUCUGUUAAAAGCUUGAAGCGUAAAAGUUCUCAAAAUAUUGGUGAACAUAUUGUGGGAAUACAUGAGCUUAAAAAGAUUGUCUUCUGUCUUAGUUCUUCCAAAAUGCAAUUGAGUUUUGACCAUAAAAAUUUGCAUGCACACAUAGAAUUUGAGACUUUUGGGAAUCUUGCACGUAAAAUUUUCAUGGAUACUUACUUGAUAUAUCUGUAGAAGUCAUCUACAAUCAUCUCUAUUAUGGUAGGAGAAAUCACAUAAUGAGGAAAUAUUUCACAAGAUGCAAGGAAUGCAUUGUACAUCAUUAUUGGAAACACAUGGAUGAUUGGGGAAAGAGUUUUCUCAAUGUUAUGAUUGGUGAUUAUGUGGUGAGGCCUGUGAUCUCCUGUAAAUUUUCUUAAACUAUUUCUUUUACUUAUUUUCCACGGGAGACUGGACAAAUUGAACUGACCCUUUCAUAGCCUUGAUCCUGAAGUUUAGUUAGAAAAAUGAAUGUAUUUGGUCAAAAUAGUGCUUAUAGCUUGUCUGAACAACCAAAGCUUCUGCUGAUACUUAGGACAGUAUUAUAGGUUUUCUAGGAAAAGAUAACAGCACUGACCUGGUUCUGCGGUGCCUUCGAUGUCAUGCCAUCCUUGGAGGCUUCAUUUUGGAGAUCCCACCUCACGUUGCUGGUAGUGGCAACAAUGAAACCUACCUAGGUAGUUUGCCAAUUGUGGUUGUGAUAUUAGGUGUCUUCUUCCAUCCCGUGUCUUCUGUUGCAUGGUGAUCUUUUUUUUACAGGAAAUAUUAAUUUUUCAGAUUCAAAGUAUAUCAUCUAACUUUGUUGAACUCGUUGACAAAACAUUACUCUUCUUUGGACUUGUUUAGCAGCUAGAAGCUACAGUUUUCAUAAAUGUUAAUGGAAGCCAGUGAAAUUGUUUUAACCUCCAUAUGUUUGUUAUAGGUAAUUGAUAAGGAUUAUGCUGUCAAGCAUCUUCCACAUGAAGAUCAGACCAUCACACUUUGCCAUCCUAGCAACAUCAAGAAAUGGCAUGCCAGUUUCAAGGUCAACACAGAUGGUACAUGCAUUCUUUCUCUUGGCUCAUCAGACUUUUUUCGUGACAAUGGGUUGCAAGAAGGUGAUAUUUCUAUAUUCGAAGUAUUGAAGAGCCAGACAAGGACCACAGUGGCAGUCCAUCUGCCUAAAAGAUACCGUCUACCAGAAGGAGUUACAUCUUCUGAAAGUUCUGUGUAUGAAGAUACCAAGCCUCAGUAUGCAGUCUCACAUAAAACCCGUUUAGAUAAUCAGCAGAAGAGGAAAGUAGUAAAAAAGGUCAAAGCUAUUCAGUCAGAAACCCCAAUUCUUGUGUUUGUCAAGGGGCUUAGUGGGGAUUACAAGAUGGGCCUGAAAAAAGAUUGGGCUGUAAAGUAUCUCCCACACGAAGAGCAACCACUGACACUUCGACGGCGUAAGAAGGGCGCUGCUCAUACUAAGAGUGGGAAGCUAAACUCCUGAUCAGCAGCGAUGGGUUGUAUCAGCUUGGUGGACGCUGGAAUCAGUUCGUCAAAGACAACAUGCUGCGACAGGGUGACAUCUGCCUGUUUGAACUGCUGAAGGAGAAGUGGCUCACCAUGUAUGUCCAUAUCAUCCGUGAUCCUGCAAAGAAAAUGAAGCGCGGCUGAUCGUUGUGGGCAUGAACCCAGUAAUGUAGUAAUGUUUCUGUGAUGCAAAUUGUCAUUCUUGUGGCUGUUCCUCUCCCAUGCAAGCUUUGGCAAGGAACUUGUGUCUAGCACUAUUAUUCUGAAUUUUCUAUUAAUUUGUGCUACUGCUUGUCGUUCCCUGUCCAUGCUGCCACUACAAGAUUUCCGGAGUGUUCUUUUUUUUCCCCGACUGGUCAACGGUUAUUAACAUUUUUGUUAUUUACAUUAAA